AUUCCGGGCAGCGGCCCUGUGUCCUGCAAGCUUGAGGACCGCGGUUCCUCUCCCACCAAUUGGGGUCCUGAAUUAGGAGAUGUGAGUUAGAUCCGGGACCACGGGGCUGCACCUGCGUCCUGCCCGCCCCCACCCUACCCCUUCACCUCAGGACCUGACCUAGACUCCAGAGAGAACAGUAAGGCUUCGGUGCCUUAGUCUGGGACUGUGGAAGUCGAUAGGCUGCGGGCUUACAGGGAGCUUCGUAUACUAAAAUCAGCCAGCUGCGGAGGCAGAGCUGAAAGGAGGCAGAAAGAAUGAGCUCUCUGAACUUGCAUGGCUACCCAGACCAUCCCUACAACUCCCUUGAACUCACAAGGGUAUGAAUAUUCAGCCAAUCUCUUCUUUGUUAUAGUCUGUUAAGGGCUUUGAGAUCUUCCAUUUGGACUCCUUGACAGCCGGUAGAUCAACACCUGCACAAAAAAUAGCAGCCACCACAAUUCAGUUGUCCCUUACCUACCUGAGCUGGAAGUUAGUAACUUGGAAAAUGUAAAACAAGAACCCUCAUAGAACUUGGGACAAGAUUUGAAAAAAAUAAAGUUACCCUAUGAAAUGAUCUGUAAAUGGGCUACAGAGGCCACAGUGUCUCCCACAUUUCAUCAGAGAGAGUAAACCAUGUGUAACCUAAGUGUCACAUACCCAGUUAAUGCUGUCAUAACCGAAGGGUGGGGUCCACAAAGAGUCUAAAACCAGAAGAAUCUGAAUAAGAAUGUUCUAUGAGGCUCCCAGGAACUCUGUCCAGGAACGAGGCAACUGAUUCUAAUGACCAGAACCAACACUUACUCUCAGGGCAGUUAAAUCUUAAUUCAGAUUCACUCACUCAUUCAACAGAUACUUAGUGAAUGCUUACUAUGUUCUAGUCUCUUAAGAUACGUCAGUAAAUCCCUGCCUUCGUGGAGUUUAUAUCCUAGCAAACCUAAAUUCUGGAUCUCCGUUAAGAGCAUACAAAGGCCCAUACUCUGAUUCCAAACUCAGCUAGUAGCCUUUCCAUCAUUCAGGGAGUCUCUCAAAUAAAUCUACAUACCCAAUAAGAAGGGAUUGUCCAAGGCAUAUAACUAGGACUAGUUAUACUAGCUGUACAGUUUUUGUCAAUAAAUUCAUAUCAUGGUUUACAAAUCGGACACUGUUCACUGGGUUGAAUUGUUUUAUCCGAAUUAAUUUCUCAGAGCCUAUUUAAACUUGAGCGAAGUGAAAUAAAAGUUUCCAAAUCUGCCAAACAGGAUCAACAGAGCCUGAUUUCAGAGCAGCCCAGUGAAGAUGCAGUCUGUGCAUUUAGCCUUGUAUCUCUCUUUAAAUAUCUUAAAUGAAAGCUUUACCUGUGAUUCCAUGCUUGGAGAACAGGAGCAAUAUGAUUGCUUCAAAAGCUUUAUCAUAAGUGCGUAAAAGUCUUGAGAGUAAAUCCGAAGAGAGUUAAAAACCUCCUCCGCCUGCCCCACAUAUGCAACACAGGCUCUUGUUGACAUAACUGACUGUAAUAAAUACUUUGCU
RNAcentral lists this long non-coding RNA (1527 nucleotides) under Homo sapiens (human). RNAcentral describes it as "non-protein coding lnc-WNT8A-4:1". The record is from RNAcentral. Lineage: Eukaryota; Metazoa; Chordata; Mammalia; Primates; Hominidae.